AGAAUCAACGCUGGCGGCGUGCCUAACACAUGCAAGUCGAACGAGAAAGUGGAGCAAUCCAUGAGUAAAGUGGCGACCGGGUGAGUAACACGUGACUAACCUACCUUCGAGUGGGGGAUAACCUCGGGAAACCGGGGCUAAUACCGCAUAACAUCUUUGAAGUGGAAAUUUCGGAGAUCAAAGGAGCAAUUCGCUUGAAGAGGGGGUCGCGGCUGAUUAGCUAGUUGGCGGGGUAACGGCCCACCAAGGCUUAGAUCGGUAGCCGGCCUGAGAGGGCGCACGGCCACACUGGAACUGAAACACGGUCCAGACUCCUACGGGAGGCAGCAGUGGGGAAUUUUGCGCAAUGGGGGAAACCCUGACGCAGCAACGCCGCGUGGAGGAUGAAGUCCCUUGGGACGUAAACUCCUUUCGACCCGGACGAUAAUGACGGUACGGGUGGAAGAAGCCCCGGCUAACUUCGCGCCAGCAGCCGC
Molecule: ribosomal RNA, 476 nt
Filed under: uncultured bacterium
Lineage: Bacteria
Description: SSU rRNA
Rfam family: Bacterial small subunit ribosomal RNA
Source: RNAcentral